AGCAGUGGGGAAUUUUGGACAAUGGGCGCAAGCCUGAUCCAGCAAUGCCGCGUGAGUGAAGAAGGCCUUCGGGUUGUAAAGCUCUUUUGUCAGGAAAGAAACGGUGAGGGCUAAUAUCCCUUGCUAAUGACGGUACCUGAAGAAUAAGCACCGGCUAACUACGUGCCAGCAGCCGCGGUAAUACGUAGGGUGCAAGCGUUAAUCGGAAUUACUGGGCGUAAAGCGUGCGCAGGCGGUUUUGUAAGUUUGUCGUGAAAGCCCCGGGCUCAACCUGUGAAUUGCGAUGAAGACUGCAUGGGCUUGAAUCUGGGAGAAGGGGGGUAGAAUUCCACGUGUAGCAGUGAAAUGCGUAAAGAUGUGGAGGAACACCGAUGGGAAGCAGCCCCCUGGGUCAAGAUUGACGCUCAUG
Molecule: ribosomal RNA, 409 nt
Filed under: uncultured bacterium
Lineage: Bacteria
Description: bacterial SSU rRNA
Rfam family: Bacterial small subunit ribosomal RNA
Source: RNAcentral